GAUGAACGCUAGCGGCAGGCUUAAUACAUGCAAGUCGAGGGGCAGCAGGUCCCGCAGCAAUGCGGGAUGCUGGCGACCGGCAAACGGGUGCGGAACACGUACACAACCUUCCUUUAAGCGGGGAAUAGCCCGGGGAAACCCGGAUUAAUACUCCAUAGUAUAUUGAAAAGGCAUCUUUUUAAUAUUAAAGAUUUAUCACUUAAAGAUGGGUGUGCGGCUGAUUAGGUAGUUGGCGGGGUAACGCCCACCAAGCCUACGAUCAGUAACUGGUGUGAGAGCACGACCAGUCACACGGGCACUGAGACACGGGCCCGACUCCUACGGGAGGCAGCAGUAAGGAAUAUU
Molecule: ribosomal RNA, 345 nt
Filed under: uncultured bacterium
Lineage: Bacteria
Description: bacterial SSU rRNA
Rfam family: Bacterial small subunit ribosomal RNA
Source: RNAcentral